GGAUCUCUUUUAGUCCCGGUUGGUAUCAUCAACCAGGACUAAAGAUAGACCGUUAGUCCCGGUUGGUAUAUAUCUAACCGUGACUAAAGUCUUUCCUAUAUAAAGCUCGGCUCCUUCCUCGAAUCCAAACUUUCUCUCCUCUCUCUUUCUUUCCCAAGCUUGAGUUGAUCCUCUAUUUUUACCAAGAUUUGUUAAGAUUGAAGGUAACCCAUCUACCCAAGUGUUUUAAAAGGCUGGAUGGGCCAUGCUUACUGAAGCUCCGCCAGUGGUCUCCCCUACCAAACAUAGUGGAACAAAAUAUAUCGCAGGUGAGGUCAUAUACAGAGCAACCUCUUGGAUCCGUACUCAGUCAUGUGGACUCCAGGGAGCUUAUGGAUACUGAAUGCAACUGAUGGGAGAUGGCCGCACGGGUUAUCUUCAACUGGUUUGAAUGGCGUGCUAGUAAUAGACUAGGUGUAUAGGCAUCGUAGUCUGAUAUUAGUUACCCCGGGUGUGGCAAAUUUUUAAGAUUUCAUUAUCUUCAAAUUUUAUUUCAGACUUACAAACCUCUCUGGACCUAUGUUGUUCCUUUGAAUUUCUUAAUAAUAUGGU
This is a long non-coding RNA of Hordeum vulgare subsp. vulgare (domesticated barley), 591 nucleotides long. RefSeq lists it as uncharacterized. The record is from RefSeq and is a predicted model, not a curated record. The transcript is spliced from 3 exons. NCBI's taxonomy places the organism in Eukaryota, Viridiplantae, Streptophyta, Magnoliopsida, Poales, Poaceae.